RNAcentral lists this transfer RNA (69 nucleotides) under fish gut metagenome. It matches the Rfam family "tRNA". Rfam says of the family: Transfer RNA (tRNA) molecules are approximately 80 nucleotides in length. Their secondary structure includes four short double-helical elements and three loops (D, anti-codon, and T loops). The record is from RNAcentral.
GAAUGUAGCUCAGUUGGUUAGAGUUCUAGAUUGUGGAUCUAGAUGUCGCGGGUUCAAGUCCCGUCAUUC